RNAcentral lists this ribosomal RNA (458 nucleotides) under uncultured Streptococcus sp. RNAcentral's name for it is "bacterial SSU rRNA". It matches the Rfam family "Bacterial small subunit ribosomal RNA", at positions 924 to 1382 of the family's 1533-position model. Lineage: Bacteria; Bacillati; Bacillota; Bacilli; Lactobacillales; Streptococcaceae. The record is from RNAcentral.
CACAAGCGGUGGAGCAUGUGGUUAAUUCGAAGCAACGCGAAGAACCUUACCAGGUCUUGACAUCCCCUGACAACCCAAGAGAUUGGGCGUUCCCCUUCGGGGGACAGGGUGACAGGUGGUGCAUGGUUGUCGUCAGCUCGUGUCGUGAGAUGUUGGGUUAAGUCCCGCAACGAGCGCAACCCCUAUUGUUAGUUGCCAUCAUUCAGUUGGGCACUCUAGCGAGACUGCCGGUAAUAAACCGGAGGAAGGUGGGGAUGACGUCAAAUCAUCAUGCCCCUUAUGACCUGGGCUACACACGUGCUACAAUGGUUGGUACAACGAGUUGCGAGUCGGUGACGGCGAGCUAAUCUCUUAAAGCCAAUCUCAGUUCGGAUUGUAGGCUGCAACUCGCCUACAUGAAGUCGGAAUCGCUAGUAAUCGCGGAUCAGCACGCCGCGGUGAAUACGUUCCCGGGCCUU